CGAACGGACUUGAGAGAGCUUGCUCUCUCAAGUUAGUGGCGGACGGGUGAGUAACACGUGAGCAACCUGCCUUUAAGAGUGGGAUAACGGUCGGAAACGACCGCUAAUACCGCAUAAUAUACAUGAAUCGCAUGGUUUGUGUAUCAAAGAUUUAUCGCUUAAAGAUGGGCUCGCGUCUGAUUAGCUGGUUGGUGAGGUAACGGCUCACCAAGGCGACGAUCAGUAGCCGUACUGAGAGGUAGAACGGCCACAUUGGGACUGAGACACGGCCCAGACUCCUACGGGAGGCAGCAGUGGGGAAUAUUGGGCAAUGGGCGCAAGCCUGACCCAGCAACGCCGCGUGAAGGAAGAAGGCUUUCGGGUUGUAAACUUCUUUUCUGAGGGACGAUAGUGACGGUACCUCAGGAAUAAGCCACGGCUAACUACGUGCCAGCAGCCGCGGUAAUACGUAGGUGGCAAGCGUUAUCCGGAUUUACUGGGUGUAAAGGGAGCGUAGACGGCAUGGCAAGUCUGAAGUGAAAGCCCGGGGCUCAACCGCGGGACUGCUUUGGAAACUGUUAAGCUGGAGUGCAGGAGAGGUAAGUGGAAUUCCUAGUGUAGCGGUGAAAUGCGUAGAUAUUAGGAGGAACACCAGUGGCGAAGGCGGCUUACUGGACUGUAACUGACGUUGAGGCUCGAAAGCGUGGGGAGC
This 691-nucleotide ribosomal RNA is filed under the name uncultured bacterium. RNAcentral's name for it is "bacterial SSU rRNA". It matches the Rfam family "Bacterial small subunit ribosomal RNA", at positions 63 to 769 of the family's 1533-position model. The record is from RNAcentral.